UGCCUUUGUGUUGCCCAUUCAUUCCCUUCUGAAAUGAAUGUGGUGUCAAAAAAGGCAGAGAAGAAUUCUUGCUCAAACUGCUUAAGGAGUUGUUUAUUUGCCUUUCUCCCUGCAAACCUUUUUUUUUUUUUUUUUCAAGGACAAAA
RNAcentral lists this small nucleolar RNA (146 nucleotides) under Cairina moschata (Muscovy duck). RNAcentral's name for it is "domestica (muscovy Duck (domestic type)) Small nucleolar RNA SNORA13 (ENSCMMG00000005988.1)". It matches the Rfam family "Small nucleolar RNA SNORA13". Rfam says of the family: ACA13 is a member of the H/ACA class of snoRNA that guide the sites of modification of uridines to pseudouridines. The record is from RNAcentral. Lineage: Eukaryota; Metazoa; Chordata; Aves; Anseriformes; Anatidae.